Molecule: long non-coding RNA, 838 nt
Filed under: Homo sapiens (human)
Lineage: Eukaryota; Metazoa; Chordata; Mammalia; Primates; Hominidae
Description: non-protein coding lnc-CCDC43-4:1
Source: RNAcentral
AUGAUGGGUGAGAAAGCUGAGAAGCCAGAUACUAAAGAGAAGAAACCUAAGGCCAAGAAAGCUGAUGUUGGUGGCAAGGUGAAAAGGGGCAACCUCAAGGCUAAAACGUCUAAGACAGGGAAGCCCCAUUGCAGCUGCAAUCCUGUCCUUGUCAGAGGAAUUGCAGAUAUUCCCGAUCUGCUAUGUAUUCCAGAAAGACCACGUCCAGGAAGAAGUACUCAGCUGCUAAAUCCAAGGUUGAAAAGAAAAAGAAGUUUCUUGCAACUGUUACAAAACCAGUUGGUGUUGACAAGAACAGUGGUACCCAGGUGGUUAAACUUCACAAAAUGCCUAGAUAUUACCCUACUGAAGAUGUGCCUCUAAAGCUGUUGAGCCAUGGCAAAAGAAACCCUUCAGUCAGCAUGUGAGAAAACUGCGAUCCAGCAUCACCUCCAGGACGAUUCUGAUCAUCACCACUGGGCGCCACAGAGGCGAGGGUGGUUUUCCUGAAGCAGCUGGUCUUGGGACUGGACCUCUGGUCCUCAAUCAAGUUCCUCUACGAAGAACACACCAGAAAUUUGUCAUUGCUACCUCAACCAAAAUUGGUAGCAGCAAUGUAAAAAUUGCAAAACGUCUUACUGGUGCUUACUUUAAGAAGGUGUGGAAGCCUAAACACCAGGAAGGUGAGACCUUUGACACAGAAAAAGAGAAAUAGAUUACAGAGCAGCGCAAGACUUAUCAGAAAGCUGUGGACUCACAUGUUUUAGAAAAAAAUCAAAGCUUUCCUCAGCUCCAGGGCUACCUGUGAUCUGUGUCUGCCCUAACGAAUGGAAUUUAUCCUCACAAAUUGGUGUUCUGA